GCGCACCAGUCGCGAAACCUUCGCAAUGCGGGAAACCGCGACGAGGGGACUCCCAGUGCCUACGCUCAGCGUAGGCUGUUCCCGAGCCUAGAAAGCUCGGGGAGUAAGGGCUGGGUAAGACGGGUGCCAGCCGCCGCGGUAAUACCCGCAGCCCGAGUGGUGGCCACUAUUAUUGGGCCUAAAGCGUCCGUAGCCGGCCCGGUAAAUGCCUGGGUAAAUCGUGAGGCCUAACCUCACGAAUUCCGGGUAGACUGCCGGGCUAGGGACCGGAGGAGGGAGAGGGGUACUCCAGGGGUAGGGGUGAAAUCCUGUAAUCCCUGGAGGACCACCGGUGGCGAAGGCGCUCUCCUAGGACGGGUCCGACGGUGAGGGACGAAAGCCAGGGGAGCGAACCGGAUUAGAUACCCGCGUAGU
This 414-nucleotide ribosomal RNA is filed under the name uncultured microorganism. RNAcentral describes it as "bacterial SSU rRNA". It matches the Rfam family "Archaeal small subunit ribosomal RNA", at positions 330 to 745 of the family's 1478-position model. The record is from RNAcentral.